Long non-coding RNA from Thunnus maccoyii (southern bluefin tuna), 1860 nucleotides. RefSeq lists it as uncharacterized. The record is from RefSeq and is a predicted model, not a curated record. NCBI's taxonomy places the organism in Eukaryota, Metazoa, Chordata, Actinopteri, Scombriformes, Scombridae. The transcript is spliced from 4 exons.
GCAUAUGCUUUAGGGCGUGGCUACGUUGUGAUUGACAACGUUGCUUACGUAACGUAACCAUCGCGUAUAGGCGUGGCUACUGCUAUUUCAGUGUGUUGUCAGUUCGUUGCUAAAGUUAAUUGUAACAUUGUGGUCGCCUAAAAACAGUCUCGUUCAGCGUUUUGCUGUAAUAAAAGAACCAUCAAUGAGUCGUAUGAUCACUUUUUCCGUACAACAUCGAAGGCCAAGAGUUCUCCGUAGAUGAGGAGUGGUGGCAGCCCACGGGGGGGGAUGCGUUGACACUAGUGAGGUCACUGUCCAACUGCAGUCAUGUGACCUUUGAAAUGUGCCGAGGCCCAACACAGACGGUGAAAUGGACCCCUACAAUAUCUACACAGGAAGUCAAACUCCCUCAUGCUGAAGGACAACAGUUGUGCAGCACAGAGUGCUUCUGUUAGCCAGAGAUAAAGAAGAAUGUGGAGGAAAGGUUGUGCAUCGAGCUGAUGGAGAGAAGCUGAAUAUCAGAGGAAGGAUCAGAACAACUGCAAAGCCACUUAAAAGCUAUUGAUUGCGGCUUCAAGAGCCAGGCCUGACGAGCCUCAUUUACAGCGAGCUGGAAACAACCUCUACCGACCAACAGUCAGAGAUGAAGCCUAGACUAAGAGCAGAGGUCCAAGGUGUUGUCAGUUUAACAGUCAUUAAUGUAGAUGUCAAUGCAAGAUGUAUGAGGAUGUUCCAGUUCAGUUGAGUGUACAUGCAAUUUCUUCUUCUGUUAUUUUAUUAGCCUCAGACCUGUGAUCUAAAACUGAGACCUGUGCCCACAUCUGUAAGAGCCGACCACAAUGAACCUGACUGGUACUGACUAAUUUGAGACCUGAACCCAACCCAAGACCAGAGGCGGCUGUAUGUUUGCUUCAUGUCAUUAGUCAGUGGCUUUUAGCUUGCUGGGCUAAUUCAACAUAUUGGGUAGUCUGUCCCUUUCCCUCUUACUACCGGACAUUAACAUAUCUACUUGCAACACAUGACAUCUGUGGACGUAUACUAUUGGCGCAGUCUGAUAGAGAAAAUGUAAAAGAGAGAAGUUUAAUUAUUUACAUUUGAAAACAGACAAAACCUAAAUCAGGCUCUAGCCUGUAGCUAGGACAGAACAAUUGUUUAUAUAUUUAAUGCACAAAGACCGACUGCAUUUAUUUCAUAUCACAAACGUUGCAGUUUUAAUUCUAACUUACAUAAUAGUGUGAACUGUUACAUGCAUAUUUACUCAGCUAUAGCAAAAUCAUUGUAAUUACUGUCAGUUGGAUUACAUACACUGGUGUAUAUAUAUAUAACCAUAUUAAUAUUGUUUAGUAGGGGUGUAAUGGUACGUGUAUUCAUGAACCGUUCGGUACAGGAUGUUUGAUCUGCUCUGUGAUCCAAACAAUUACUGUCAAAAUAGUUUAAUAAUCCACUUACUCCGAUGUUUACUCCGGAACGUUUUGGCAGUGCAUCAUUUCGCUGUAGCCAGAGUCAGCACACUUAACAGUCACUUCUUCUAUCAGUGUCACAUGGGAUCAGCGGCAAGUCCUGAGUCUAUUCACUCCAAAGAGAGGAGUGAACGUGAGCACAGAUUAUUGCAGAUUCUUUCAACCCAUAGUCACAGAAGUAAACCACGCCCACUUAGGAGACAGGAAGUGUAUACCAUUUCAUAUGAUUGGCACAGCUUGUAAUGCAUCAUCUUUUGUUAUAAAGCAUCUUUGCUGUAGCAUGUUCAUGGAUGUAUGCCAGCCAGCUUAGCUAAAGUAGCCUGGUUAUCAUGGUUACCCAUGCUCAUGUAGUGUUGCUGCUGUCAUUAUUAUUAAAAUAUGCGCUGUUAUCCCUGUGUUUAAUAAACAAUAUUGCGUC